RNAcentral lists this ribosomal RNA (468 nucleotides) under uncultured bacterium. RNAcentral's name for it is "partial 16S ribosomal RNA". It matches the Rfam family "Bacterial small subunit ribosomal RNA", at positions 28 to 507 of the family's 1533-position model. The record is from RNAcentral.
GACGAACGCUGGCGGCGUGCUUAACACAUGCAAGUCGAACGGAAAGGCCCUGCUCUUGCGGGGUGCUCGUGUGCCGAACGCGGGAGUAUCACGCGUGUAACCUGUCCUUGUCUUUGGGAUAACUUCAGGGAACUGGGGCUCAUAUCGGAUAGGAGCUCCUGCUGCAUGGUGUGGGUUGGAAAGUUUCGGCGGUUGGGGCUGGACUCGAGGCUUAUCCGCUUGAUGGUGGGGUAGUGGCUUACCAAGGCUUUGACGGGUAGCCGGCCUGAGAGGGUGGCCGGCCACAUUGGGACUGAGAUACGGACCAGACUGCAACGGGAGGCAGUAGUGGGGAAUAUUGCACAGUGGGCGGAAGCCUGAUGCAGCAACGCCGCGUGCGGAAUGACGGCCUUCGAGUUGUAAACCGCUGUCGCCGGUGACGAAGCGUGAGUGACGGUAAUGGGUAAAGAAGCACCGGCUAACUACGUG